GCAAGUCGAGCGAACAGAUAAGGAGCUUGCUCCUUUGACGUUAGCGGCGGACGGGUGAGUAACACGUGGGUAACCUACCUAUAAGACUGGGAUAACUUCGGGAAACCGGAGCUAAUACCGGAUAAUAUUUCGAACCGCAUGGUUCGAUAGUGAAAGAUGGUUUUGCUAUCACUUAUAGAUGGACCCGCGCCGUAUUAGCUAGUUGGUAAGGUAACGGCUUACCAAGGCGACGAUACGUAGCCGACCUGAGAGGGUGAUCGGCCACACUGGAACUGAGACACGGUCCAGACUCCUACGGGAGGCAGCAGUAGGGAAUCUUCCGCAAUGGGCGAAAGCCUGACGGAGCAACGCCGCGUGAGUGAUGAAGGUCUUCGGAUCGUAAAACUCUGUUAUUAGGGAAGAACAUACGUGUAAGUAACUGUGCACGUCUUGACGGUACCUAAUCAGAAAGCCACGGCUAACUACGUGCCAGCAGCCGCGGUAAUACGUAGGUGGCAAGCGUUAUCCGGAAUUAUUGGGCGUAAAGCGCGCGUAGGCGGUUUUUUAAGUCUGAUGUGAAAGCCCACGGCUCAACCGUGGAGGGUCAUUGGAAACUGGAAAACUUGAGUGCAGAAGAGGAAAGUGGAAUUCCAUGUGUAGCGGUGAAAUGCGCAGAGAUAUGGAGGAACACCAGUGGCGAAGGCGACUUUCUGGUCUGUAACUGACGCUGAUGUGCGAAAGCGUGGGGAUCAAACAGGAUUAGAUACCCUGGUAGUCCACGCCGUAAACGAUGAGUGCUAAGUGUUAGGGGGUUUCCGCCCCUUAGUGCUGCAGCUAACGCAUUAAGCACUCCGCCUGGGGAGUACGACCGCAAGGUUGAAACUCAAAGGAAUUGACGGGGACCCGCACAAGCGGUGGAGCAUGUGGUUUAAUUCGAAGCAACGCGAGGAACCUUACCAAAUCAUGACAUCCUUUGACAACUCUAGAGAUAGAGCUUUCCCCUUCGGGGGACAAAGUGACAGGUGGUGCAUGGUUGUCGUCAGCUCGUGUCGUGAGAUGUUGGGUUAAGUCCCGCAACGAGCGCAACCCUUAAGCUUAGUUGCCAUCAUUAAGUUGGGCACUCUAAGUUGACUGCCGGUGACAAACCGGAGGAAGGUGGGGAUGACGUCAAAUCAUCAUGCCCCUUAUGAUUUGGGCUACACACGUGCUACAAUGGACAAUACAAAGGGCAGCGAAACCGCGAGGUCAAGCAAAUCCCAUAAAGUUGUUCUCAGUUCGGAUUGUAGUCUGCAACUCGACUACAUGAAGCUGGAAUCGCUAGUAAUCGUAGAUCAGCAUGCUACGGUGAAUACGUUCCCGGGUCUUGUACACACCGCCCGUCACACCACGAGAGUUUGUAACACCCGAAGCCGGUGGAGUAACCAUUGGAGCUAGCCGUCGA
Molecule: ribosomal RNA, 1420 nt
Filed under: Staphylococcus hominis
Lineage: Bacteria; Bacillati; Bacillota; Bacilli; Caryophanales; Staphylococcaceae
Description: bacterial SSU rRNA
Rfam family: Bacterial small subunit ribosomal RNA
Source: RNAcentral